Bos taurus (domestic cattle) is the source of this 1298-nucleotide long non-coding RNA. The record is from Ensembl. Lineage: Eukaryota; Metazoa; Chordata; Mammalia; Artiodactyla; Bovidae.
AAAUAUAUGUGUAUUUGAACUUGGCAGACAGUUUAGUGAAGACCCACAGACUCAUCCCUGGCUUCCAGAUAAUAAUUCUGAACUAGAGUUGGCUGAGGAGUUUUCUGCCUCUGAUUUAGUUUCCUGGAGCAAGGGAAAGGCUCCUGUAAGGGCCAGGGAGACAGAGGUGGGGAGCUCUGAAGCCUGGAAACAGUGAGGCCUUUUGAGGUGUGGCGUCUGCCUGAGCACACCAUCAGGGGUGUGUAAGCAGAAGAUGGAGGCCCCUGGUUGAAAUAAAAGGAAGGGUUGAUCCAAACAGCAGCUGACCUUUCCUGGGCCCCUCUUGCUGCCUCUGUCCUUGUCUUUCUGUCCCUGACCCUGUGGGACUAGCGUCUCAGGGAAUCCCCCGGCAGUGGUGACCAACCCCCGCCCCUUGAAGCGGCUGGUGAAGAAAGACCACCGACUAGACCCCGCCAGAGGGCCUGGUGCCGCCCCACUCCUCUCUGGCAGCUGAGGCCUCCUGCUAAAAACAGCGGGGCCCGAGGGGAAUAUGGGCUUUCAGGCCUCCCCCUCCACGUCCCAGCAGGUAUUAAAAGAGGCCGAAGAGGACCAGGCGGCCUGGACACUAUGCUAUUCACCGAGACUGCCCACUUGGUGGUGAAUUUUCUUCUGUCCUGGUGAAGGGGUCCAGAGGAGGGUGCCGGCGAGAUAAAGGCCCCGGGUCUGGCAGCUUGGGGGGAGGAGGAGCGCAGGUCCUUGGGAAGAUCCUGAGAGGGGCCUCCAAUCUCCCUUCUCCCCAGCAUGGGCCAGGAGUGAUCCCGACCCUCGCCCCGACGCGUCUGAUCCGAGGCGGCCGCCUCCUCCCAGCGUGCCGCGCCUCCUGGGGUGACCGCUGCCCUGUCUCCCCUACGGGCGCCCCAAGGCCACGCCCCCUUACUGCCUGGACUAGGAGUUAUGUUUCUAGGGCUGCCGGAGCCCGGUCUUGUUGGCGCCCGCGACCCGCCGAAGCCUGGGCGACUACUGGAUGAGCCCGCAGGGCAGCCGCCCCCCGGGCACCUCCUGGCGCUGGCCCGCGCACAACCUGCUACUGCUGCCGGGGGCCACUGGGGUGGCGGACGGGGCCCAGGUGCACUGGCCCAGCUGCUACGGAGCGGGCCCGCGCCUCCUGAAUUUGGGGAGACAGCUUCAGGUUCAUCACAUGAUGGUCCCGAGGCUAACUUGUGCCAAGCCAGGAUGAGCAGGAAGAUGGCCCGGGAGCACUGCAGAGUCCUCUGUCCCCUUUCUGUGGGUGAAGGUUGUCCCUUUGCCCUCUCCUGUAU